UGUCUCUUAUAUAUGAAGCGAUGCUGCU
This 28-nucleotide non-coding RNA is filed under the name Bombyx mori (domestic silkworm). The record is from RNAcentral. Lineage: Eukaryota; Metazoa; Arthropoda; Insecta; Lepidoptera; Bombycidae. RNAcentral also lists the same sequence under 1 other name.